AAACAGAAAAAGCUUCAACAUUCAUCAAUGGCGUAAACCUAACCUUUUCCAGAAACAGAAACUACACAAAUUCAAGCUAUUUUUUCAGGGAUUCUCAGUGAUUCUUUGAAGAAUCAUCAUCAUUGAAUCAAUAUCUUCGCAAUUCAAGGUGCGAAUUCGCCAAAGGCAAACUCCAGCACCGAUCACGAAGAUACAGUGAGGAAGACGAAGAAGAAAGAAAGACAGUGAAGGUUUAAACCGGCGAAGAAGACGAUAAAGCAAGAAAUCAGCAAGAACACCGGUUUAUUUCCGGAUUCAAAGCCAAAUCACAUAGCAUCAGAGAUUGAAGUUUUCCGAAGAAUUUCUCCAUUAAAGGUUUCAACCAAAACCUUAGGUAAAACUCA
RNAcentral lists this long non-coding RNA (383 nucleotides) under Medicago truncatula (barrel medic). RNAcentral's name for it is "long non-coding RNA (MTRU_LNC001259)". The record is from RNAcentral. Lineage: Eukaryota; Viridiplantae; Streptophyta; Magnoliopsida; Fabales; Fabaceae.